GGCGCCAUCGUCUAUCGGUUAGGACAUCGCCCUUUCAAGGCGGGAAGACGGGUUCGAUUCCCGUUGGCGCUACCA
RNAcentral lists this transfer RNA (75 nucleotides) under Candidatus Tyrphobacter sp. Its description in RNAcentral is "tRNA-Glu". It matches the Rfam family "tRNA". From Rfam's summary of the family: Transfer RNA (tRNA) molecules are approximately 80 nucleotides in length. Their secondary structure includes four short double-helical elements and three loops (D, anti-codon, and T loops). RNAcentral also lists the same sequence under 2 other names. Lineage: Bacteria; Bacillati; Vulcanimicrobiota; Vulcanimicrobiia; Vulcanimicrobiales; Vulcanimicrobiaceae. The record is from RNAcentral.